GCGGCAGCCGGAGCAGCGGGGAAAUGUAGCCCCUUCCCUUUCCCCUUCCCCUUCGGCGGCUGGAAGGCAGAAGUCGCGCUGUCACAUGGCCCCCGGCCGGCGCGGCAGGCAGGCAGGGAGGGAAGGCGGGGAGGGAGCCCAGCCCCACCUGGAUUCGCCUCAGCGGUGCCGCCUUCCCGAGCGCCUGGUUCAAAACUCCUCGAAAAGCGCUUUAACGUAGAAAACUUGGGUUCGAGACCAGAAAGUCGGGAGUAACUCUGAAUGUCUUCAUCAGCUGCUGCUGGCAACACCCUGACAAAGUAUCUGCCACCCAGAAAACCACAUACUCUUGGCACAUCAGUCUUGCCUCUGUACUCGAUUUAAUCUCUUCUGUGGGAUGCAAGAGCUUGGCAGAGUUCCCUCCCGUGCUGACUUUGUGCCAACCGCAGUGAAAAAAUAACGGUUUGGAAGAUAACUGUGUUUCUCAGCUUUCUUACGCACAAACGGGCAGCUCCAGCGGAGAGUGAAGAGAGAACUUUGCAGUGUGAGCUCACGUAUUAACAAAGCCAGAGAAUUCACACAGAAAGGAGACCUUAAAAUGUCUUAGUAAAGAAAGGCUUCUACAAGCACUGAAGCACAAAUCCCUAAGUGUAUAGGACACAGGGCACUUGUUGUAGGCGACCGUGAGUAUUUAAAUGAGCUUGCCUUUUGUAACAAAUUGGAAAACUUCAAAAGGAAACUGAGAUCAUAGAUGAGUAAAUGCAUCUACAGUACUUGAAGCAUUAAGAAAAUACUAUUGCAAGAUCUGUAAUAAAGCCGGGUGGAUUGUAAGGGUAGGGUAACGGGAAUAAAUUAACAAGAAAAUGC
This is a long non-coding RNA of Cyanistes caeruleus (blue tit), 846 nucleotides long. RefSeq lists it as uncharacterized. The record is from RefSeq and is a predicted model, not a curated record. Lineage: Eukaryota; Metazoa; Chordata; Aves; Passeriformes; Paridae.